UUAAGUCAAAUACUCCCUUUUUUUUAGAAAAACACACGUACAGCAUCACAUUCCAUCUUAGAAAAAAAGACCCCAACUAAUAUUCAUUGUUUUUUAAAACCAUGGAACAAAUACCCCCUUCCAGAUCCGUCGUUUUCCCUUCCCAAAAACACAACAAGCAUUGAAAAGAAAUUAGAGUUCUGUCACGUCACAGGGCUGCUUCUCCGUCGCCGCCACUGCUGUCUGCCGUCGUCGCUGCGGAAGCCCCAGCAGCCGCUGCCCUCUUUUCCCAAGCAAUUGAGACAAAGGCUAAACUUAAAGAUUGAAACUUUGUACCGAGCACGAUGAUUCAGAAUUAUCCUAAAUGAAUGCAAGGAAUUCAAGGCUGGGAAUUGAUAGCUUUUAUUUGAUGUAGGGUGGAAUUCCACGAGUUGAUGUUUCCCUUAAAAGCUGCGGUUGAUUUUGUCGUCUCUUUGGCCUAUACUUUUCGGAUUCUUUCGAUGGAGAAGAAUAUGAUAACAAUGUCUUUUCUGUAUUCCUUCUUCGUAUAUAGAAUUCUGUAGAGAUUUCUGUCAUCGUCAAAUCUAAAAUCUGAUUUGUUUAUAUAAGUUAUAUGCAACCUUUCACGAAAAGUUGCAUCCGUUCACUUAUACCCUUUCAUGUAAAACCCAUCAGAUUUUUCUGUAGACUUUAUUUUACAGCUUUC
Long non-coding RNA from Salvia splendens (bonfire salvia), 685 nucleotides. RefSeq lists it as uncharacterized. NCBI's taxonomy places the organism in Eukaryota, Viridiplantae, Streptophyta, Magnoliopsida, Lamiales, Lamiaceae. The record is from RefSeq and is a predicted model, not a curated record. The transcript has 3 exons.